RNAcentral lists this ribosomal RNA (253 nucleotides) under uncultured bacterium. RNAcentral's name for it is "partial 16S ribosomal RNA". It matches the Rfam family "Bacterial small subunit ribosomal RNA", at positions 524 to 776 of the family's 1533-position model. The record is from RNAcentral.
UACGUAGGGUGCAAGCGUUGUCCGGAAUUAUUGGGCGUAAAGAGCUCGUAGGCGGUUUGUCGCGUCUGCUGUGAAAACUCGGGGCUUAACCCCGGGCCUGCAGUGGGUACGGGCAGACUAGAGUGCGGUAGGGGAGACUGGAAUUCCUGGUGUAGCGGUGAAAUGCGCAGAUAUCAGGAGGAACACCGAUUGCGAAGGCAGCUCGCUGGAACGUUACUGACGCUGAGACGCGAAAGCGUGGGGAGCAAACAGG